RNAcentral lists this ribosomal RNA (497 nucleotides) under uncultured bacterium. RNAcentral's name for it is "partial 16S ribosomal RNA". It matches the Rfam family "Bacterial small subunit ribosomal RNA", at positions 28 to 507 of the family's 1533-position model. The record is from RNAcentral.
GAUGAACGCUGGCGGCGUGCCUAAUACAUGCAAGUCGAGCGAACAGACGAGGAGCUUGCUCCUCUGACGUUAGCGGCGGACGGGUGAGUAACACGUGGAUAACCUACCUAUAAGACUGGGAUAACUUCGGGAAACCGGAGCUAAUACCGGAUAAUAUAUUGAACCGCAUGGUUCAAUAGUGAAAGACGGUUUUGCUGUCACUUAUAGAUGGAUCCGCGCCGCAUUAGCUAGUUGGUAAGGUAACGGCUUACCAAGGCAACGAUGCGUAGCCGACCUGAGAGGGGGAUAGGACACACGGGAACUGAGACACGGUCCAGAAUCCUACGGGAGGCCGCAGGAGGGAAGCUUCCGCAAUGGGCGAAAGCCUGACGGAGCAACGCCGCGUGAGUGAUGAAGGUCUUCGGAUCGUAAAACUCGGUUAUUAGGGAAGAACAUAUGUGUAAGUAACUGUGCACAUCUUGACGGUACCUAAUCAGAAAGCCACGGCUAACUACGUG